AUGUACAGUACAAAACGUCAGAUAUAUCUACUUAUUGUCCUUCUGAUCACAUCCUUGUUCUUAUUGUGGGGCAACUAUGACGAAUUUCAAAUCUUACCAGAGCCCCCAUACCGUUCAAGAACUGGAAGCCAAAAGCAAACUCACUUAGUAGAAACACAAAUAAUUCCAGAAAUAAACGAUACCGAAAUAAAUGAUACAAAUAGUCAUGCGUCUGCAACAACCUCAGCGAUGUCACUUGUAGAGCCAAAAGUUGUGUAUGCACUAAAUGAAACAAUCAGUUUGAAGAUUGUGCUAUUUGACCACAGGAAUAGACCAAAAACCCGAGGUGGCGAUAUGCUAAUUGUAUGGAUGCGAGACAAUGGUAAGGGAGCUGCUUCAGCCGGAACUGUUAUUGACCAUGACAACGGGACAUAUACUGGUGUUCUGCGCAUCUUGUGGACCGGACAAGCUGUCAUCCGUGCAGCGAUAUUAUCUUCGAGAGAAAAAAUGGCUUUUGUAUACAGGGAAUUUAACAAUGGAUAUACUGGAAAGAGAAUCGAAUGCUUAUUUAAUGUAUACAACUUAACAGAGACUACAUUGGGAUAUAUGGAUAACACAUUUGUGAAAAUGGGACAAGUUUGUAAUUUAACAGACAAACAUUAUGGUGUUCCAUUGUAUUGUUAUAAACCUAAGAAGAAAGAAAUACAGUGCAGCGACUGGACUGGGAUCACUUCACAGAGGAACUUGCCGAUACCAGCCAGGCCUGACAACAAAUGGUAUCUUUCGUCAGCCGGCCCAGGGAUUCUUCCAGGCAAUGUCACAGUGACCGUUUCUUCUGGUAUAUAGGCUGCAUCCUAAAUAACA
Long non-coding RNA from Haliotis rufescens (red abalone), 843 nucleotides. RefSeq lists it as uncharacterized. NCBI's taxonomy places the organism in Eukaryota, Metazoa, Mollusca, Gastropoda, Lepetellida, Haliotidae. The record is from RefSeq and is a predicted model, not a curated record. The transcript has 3 exons.